GUCAUUUUGAAAGUUAUGUUUGAAUACAAAAUAUUCAAUAUUGGAAAGUUGUUUCCAACUGCAAAUUUAGAGAGAGAUUAAAGGGAAAGUGGAACAUUCUUUUUCUUCUGUAUUUUGACUUUUUUCCUCAGUGCUCUUUUCUUAUUAAAAGCUCUGGGCUUCAUUGAACUAUUUCCUGUUUCCCUUGCUUAUCCACAGAUUUAGAUGCUUUAUGUUGACUUACUGGUUUUUGUUAAUGGUAUGCUGAUUAUGAAUGUGUGCACGUGGUAGCUGUUCCUUCCUGAAGAACAUUCCUGUUGAAAGGAUGCUGAUAGUCUCCUACUUGACAGUAUUGCAGUUUCCAGUUUACUUUCAGGAGUAAUGUGAGCACAGAAGUGAUUUGACCUCUGCCCACAGUACCUCACAAGGGACUUCUAGCAUGAAAACAAAAAACUGAUUGCCUAACAAAUCAAAACCAGAAAAUAUGCAAAUUCUAAAGUCUGGGAAUGGUGAGUUUUCGUGGCACACCUCUGUAAGCUUGAAUAUUUCCAGAAAGAAGCAUGUGUGCCACCUACAAAUAACAAAUAGCUGAAUAAGUUUUCUGGAAAAAUUGUGAGAUAACUUAUUCUGGACUUCCAUAAAGAGUGACUUCACAUGAUAUCUAUGUUUACAGAUAAGCUGUACGGAAUAUUUGAAGAGAAAACUUAAGUCUGUACCAAU
RNAcentral lists this long non-coding RNA (699 nucleotides) under Numida meleagris (helmeted guineafowl). RNAcentral describes it as "lncRNA (ENSNMEG00000018441.1)". Lineage: Eukaryota; Metazoa; Chordata; Aves; Galliformes; Numididae. The record is from RNAcentral.